RNAcentral lists this ribosomal RNA (619 nucleotides) under uncultured fungus. Its description in RNAcentral is "eukaryotic LSU rRNA". It matches the Rfam family "Eukaryotic large subunit ribosomal RNA", at positions 16 to 649 of the family's 3401-position model. Lineage: Eukaryota; Fungi. The record is from RNAcentral.
UAGGGAUACCCGCUGAACUUAAGCAUAUCAAUAAGCGGAGGAAAAGAAACCAACAGGGAUUGCCUCAGUAACGGCGAGUGAAGCGNCAACAGCUCAAAUUUGAAAUCUGGCUCUUUCAGGGUCCGAGUUGUAAUUUGUAGAAGAUGCUUUGGGUGUGGCUCCGGUCUAAGUUCCUUGGAACAGGACGUCAUAGAGGGUGAGAAUCCCGUACGUGACUGGGUGCCUUCGCUCGUGUAAAGCUCUUUCGACGAGUCGAGUUGUUUGGGAAUGCAGCUCAAAAUGGGUGGUAAAUUUCAUCUAAAGCUAAAUAUUGGCCAGAGACCGAUAGCGCACAAGUAGAGUGAUCGAAAGAUGAAAAGCACUUUGGAAAGAGAGUUAAACAGUACGUGAAAUUGUUGAAAGGGAAGCGCUUGCAACCAGACUUGCAUGCUGUUGAUCAUCCGAGCUUUUGCCCGGUGCACUCGAUAGUAUUCAGGCCAGCAUCGGUUUUGGUGGGCGGAUAAAGGCCCUGGGAAUGUAGCUUCUUUCGGGGAGUGUUAUAGCCCUCGGUGCAAUGCGCCCUACCGGGACCGAGGACCGCGCUUCGGCUAGGAUGCUGGCGUAAUGGUUGUAAGCGACC